RNAcentral lists this ribosomal RNA (955 nucleotides) under Staphylococcus capitis. RNAcentral's name for it is "bacterial SSU rRNA". It matches the Rfam family "Bacterial small subunit ribosomal RNA", at positions 92 to 1026 of the family's 1533-position model. Lineage: Bacteria; Bacillati; Bacillota; Bacilli; Caryophanales; Staphylococcaceae. The record is from RNAcentral.
UUAGCGGCGGACGGGUGAGUAACACGUGGGUAACCUACCUAUAAGACUGGAAUAACUCCGGGAAACCGGGGCUAAUGCCGGAUAAUAUGCGGAACCGCAUGGUUCUGCAAUGAAAGACGGUCUUGCUGUCACUUAUAGAUGGACCCGCGCCGUAUUAGCUAGUUGGUAAGGUAACGGCUUACCAAGGCAACGAUACGUAGCCGACCUGAGAGGGUGAUCGGCCACACUGGAACUGAGACACGGUCCAGACUCCUACGGGAGGCAGCAGUAGGGAAUCUUCCGCAAUGGGCGAAAGCCUGACGGAGCAACGCCGCGUGAGUGAUGAAGGUCUUCGGAUCGUAAAACUCUGUUAUUAGGGAAGAACAAGUGCGUAGGUAACUAUGCGCACCUUGACGGUACCUAAUCAGAAAGCCACGGCUAACUACGUGCCAGCAGCCGCGGUAAUACGUAGGUGGCAAGCGUUAUCCGGAAUUAUUGGGCGUAAAGCGCGCGUAGGCGGUUUUUUAAGUCUGAUGUGAAAGCCCACGGCUCAACCGUGGAGGGUCAUUGGAAACUGGAAAACUUGAGUGCAGAAGAGGAAAGUGGAAUUCCAUGUGUAGCGGUGAAAUGCGCAGAGAUAUGGAGGAACACCAGUGGCGAAGGCGACUUUCUGGUCUGCAACUGACGCUGAUGUGCGAAAGCGUGGGGAUCAAACAGGAUUAGAUACCCUGGUAGUCCACGCCGUAAACGAUGAGUGCUAAGUGUUAGGGGGGUUUCCGCCCCCUUAGUGCUGCAGCUAACGCAUUAAGCACUCCGCCUGGGGAGUACGGCCGCAAGGCUGAAACUCAAAGGAAUUGACGGGGGACCCGCACAAGCGGUGGAGCAUGGUGGUUUAAUUCGAAGCAACGCGAAGAACCUUACCAAAUCUUGACAUCCUUUUGACCGCUCUAGAGAUAAGAGUCUUCCCCUUCGGGGG